UCCCUGGCAGUCCAGUGGUUAGGGCUCUGUGCUUUCACUGCUGACAGCCUGGGUUCAAUCCCGGUCAGGGAA
This 72-nucleotide transfer RNA is filed under the name Bos taurus (domestic cattle). It matches the Rfam family "tRNA". Rfam says of the family: Transfer RNA (tRNA) molecules are approximately 80 nucleotides in length. Their secondary structure includes four short double-helical elements and three loops (D, anti-codon, and T loops). The record is from Rfam by way of RNAcentral. RNAcentral also lists the same sequence under 5 other names. Lineage: Eukaryota; Metazoa; Chordata; Mammalia; Artiodactyla; Bovidae.